CGAACAAACGCUGGCGGCGUGCCUAACACAUGCAAGUCGUACGAGAAAGGGUCCUUCGGGGCCUGAGUAAAGUGGCGCACGGGUGAGUAACGCGUGGAUAAUCUGCCCUUCAGUUGGGAAUAACUCAUCGAAAGGUGGGCUAAUACCGAAUAAUGCCGCAUGACCCCGGUUGUGCAGCCAAAGACGGCCUCUGCUUGCAAGCUGUCGCUGAAGGAUGAGUCCGCGUACCAUUAGCUAGUUGGCGGGGUAAUAGCCCACCAAGGCGACGAUCGGUAGCCGGCCUGAGAGGGUGAUCGGCCACAUUGGGACUGAGAUACGGCCCAGACUCCUACGGGAGGCAGCAGUAGGGAAUAUUGCGCAAUGGGGGGAACCCUGACGCAGCAACGCCACGUGUGGGAAGAAGCAUUUCGGUGUGUAAACCACUGUCGGAAAGGAAUAACGGAAGACUUCGGUCUUUAUGAAUGUACUUUUAGAGGAAGCACCGGCAAACUUCGUG
This 496-nucleotide ribosomal RNA is filed under the name uncultured bacterium. RNAcentral's name for it is "bacterial SSU rRNA". It matches the Rfam family "Bacterial small subunit ribosomal RNA", at positions 27 to 507 of the family's 1533-position model. The record is from RNAcentral.